CUCAGUCUCUUUCAGUAGUUCCAAAUAGUGUUAUACAGUAUUUCACUGGAAACAGUGGUUUCACCACAGAUCUGGCAGUAGCUUCUGUUUAAAACACAACUUUGCCCCAAAGCAUCCAUCAAAGACUUCAAAACAUAAUUGAUUUUGGCAGUCCACACCAAGACCAUAAUGUGGAUGGUAACUGCCAGUGGAUACGAGGGCCUUUAUGAAGUCUGAGGUGUGGUGUGUGUUCUCAGGAGGAAAUGGGGUGAAAUGGUUUAUUCAGAACUGUAAAACGUUUUUCUAAUUAGAUCUCAAUUGCAUAAAAACCA
Molecule: long non-coding RNA, 311 nt
Organism: Leopardus geoffroyi (Geoffroy's cat)
Lineage: Eukaryota; Metazoa; Chordata; Mammalia; Carnivora; Felidae
Exons: 2
Source: RefSeq, a predicted model, not a curated record